GACGGAGGAUGCAAGUGUUAUCCGGAAUCACUGGGCGUAAAGCGUCUGUAGGUGGUUUACAAAGUCCACUGUUAAAAAUUGAAGCUUAACUUCAAAGAUGCCGUGGAAACUUUUAAACUUGAGGAUGAUAGGGGUAGAGGGAAUUUCCAGUGGAGCGGUGAAAUGCGUAGAUAUUGGAUAGACCACCAAUGGCGAAGGCACGCUACUGGGAGAGUACUGACACUGAGGGACGAAAGCUAGGGGAGCGAAUGGG
RNAcentral lists this ribosomal RNA (253 nucleotides) under uncultured bacterium. Its description in RNAcentral is "partial 16S ribosomal RNA". It matches the Rfam family "Bacterial small subunit ribosomal RNA", at positions 524 to 776 of the family's 1533-position model. The record is from RNAcentral.